GUAGGUGGCAAGCGUUGUCCGGAAUUAUUGGGCGUAAAGCGCGCGCAGGCGGUUCUUUAAGUCUGAUGUGAAAGCCCACGGCUCAACCGUGGAGGGUCAUUGGAAACUGGAGAACUUGAGUACAGAAGAGGAAAGCGGAAUUCCACGUGUAGCGGUGAAAUGCGUAGAGAUGUGGAGGAACACCAGUGGCGAGGGCGGCUUUCUGGUCUGUAACUGACGCUGAGGCGCGAAAGCGUGGGGAGCAAACAGGGAUUAGAUACCCUGGUAGUCCACGCCGUAAACGAUGAGUGCUAAGUGUUAGGGGGUUUCCGCCCCCUUAGUGCUGCAGCUAACGCAUUAAGCACUCCGCCUGGGGAGUACGGCCGCAAGGCUG
Molecule: ribosomal RNA, 373 nt
Filed under: uncultured organism
Description: partial 16S ribosomal RNA
Rfam family: Bacterial small subunit ribosomal RNA
Source: RNAcentral